This 450-nucleotide ribosomal RNA is filed under the name uncultured eukaryote. RNAcentral's name for it is "bacterial SSU rRNA". It matches the Rfam family "Eukaryotic small subunit ribosomal RNA", at positions 21 to 452 of the family's 1831-position model. The record is from RNAcentral.
UAGUCAUAUGCUUGUCUUAAAGACUAAGCCAUGCAUGUCUAAGUAUAAGCACUUGUACAGCAAAACUGCGAAUGGCUCAUUAAAUCAGUUAUAAUUUAUUUGAUGGUAAAUACCACUUGGAUAACCGUGGUAAAACUAGAGCUAAUACAUGCGUAAAAACCUGACUGGGAACGGAAAGGUUGUAUUUAUUAGAUACAAAACCAAUACUUUAAUAGAGGCAACUUUAUUAAAGUUAAAAUUGGUGAUUCAUAGUAAUUAAACUAAUCGUAUAGUCUUUUGUACUGACGAUAGUUCAUCCAAAUAUCUGCCCUAUCAACUUUCGAUGGUAGUAUAGAGGACUACCAUGGUGGUAACGGGUAACGGAGAAUCAGGGUUUGAUUCCGGAGAAGGAGCCUGAGAAACGGCUACUACUUCCAAGGAAGGCAGCAGGCGCGCAAAUUACCCAAUCCC